This 920-nucleotide long non-coding RNA is filed under the name Homo sapiens (human). RNAcentral's name for it is "HSALNT0374444". Lineage: Eukaryota; Metazoa; Chordata; Mammalia; Primates; Hominidae. The record is from RNAcentral.
AAUAGAAUUACGUUUUAUAGGUGUGUCUAGGCAACACAAGGGAAUGUGAAAGACUUUCAGAGGGAAUGUUUGUGAAUACAUCUGGUGUGUACUAAAAAGCUGGAAAACCCCUAAGUAAAUGCAAUAUCGAUAGAAAGCGAGUUUCUUGAAGAGUCAUCUGCUAAACUCCACUAGAGUCAUCUCUACAGAUGCAACUGACUCACUUAAAAUAGCUGUGUGGAUAUAGAACUUUUAUCAACUACUAUUUACUAAAUUAUAUUGGUGUGUUUGUCCUCAUCUUAGAAUAGCAUAUCAAUAGAUGCUAUAAAAACAUAAGAGGGUGUGGUUAAGAGAAAAAAAAAUUGCCAUUAAGGAAUCAGCAAAUAGGAUGUCUGAAGUGAGGAUAUAGCACCUAUCUCUGAGAUUAAAGUCAUCUGAUCAAAAAUGAUGCCUCUGAGACUAUAACAAAGGAAUGAAUAAUGAAAUAUAAGAAUGGGGAUUCUGCACUAACUCUAUGGGGAAGAAAACAAUGGUAAGAGCAAAAGGAUCAACAGCAGCAACUCCUGUUUCCAUCGAUUUGUUUAUAAGAUGCCGUCUACAUUAUUCCAAAAUAUCCCAGCCUUUUUCUCCCCUGUCAAGCUUCCCUGUCUCUAAAAGAGAUCUUGCUCUUCCUGCACAGAAAGAAAUAAUAAUAUAUCACUGAAAUAUUAUUAUUACAUUUAAAGUUACUUACACUCUUUCCCAUUCCUAUAAUUUCCUAGUUGGAAGCCCUCGCACUUGGGAAAUUAUUUAAUGUGAUUUUUUCUCCCUGACAUAUAAAUUGUCACAUCACCUUAAAUGUUGGGACUUCAGGUUGGGAAGUGGGUGGAUAAUAUUCUUGAGGAAGCUGCCUUCCUUUUAUAGAUAAUGUUACCUCCUUGUAAAGGUUGCUUUCUAUGUAU